Molecule: transfer-messenger RNA, 189 nt
Filed under: Dechloromonas aromatica RCB
Lineage: Bacteria; Pseudomonadati; Pseudomonadota; Betaproteobacteria; Rhodocyclales; Azonexaceae
Description: transfer-messenger RNA Dechl_aroma_RCB
Rfam family: Betaproteobacteria transfer-messenger RNA
About the family: Bacterial tmRNA, also known as 10Sa RNA or SsrA, is named for its dual tRNA and mRNA-like properties. Its role is to liberate the mRNA from a stalled ribosome. To accomplish this part of the tmRNA is used as a reading frame that ends in a translation stop signal.
Source: RNAcentral
GGGGGUGUACUGGUCUCGACAGGGCGGACAAAGGUGCGCAGGCAACUCGUCAGGCGAUCGACGUUAAUGAAGCAAAUCCAUAAUUGCCAAUGAUGAGCAAUUCGCUAUUGCCGCCUAAAAACGGUUAGCCGGGGCUGCUAGAGCCUUGUUACCAAAGAUAGCCGGCGGGGACUUCGGUCCCCGUCGUCA